Molecule: unclassified non-coding RNA, 298 nt
Filed under: Hevea brasiliensis (rubber tree)
Lineage: Eukaryota; Viridiplantae; Streptophyta; Magnoliopsida; Malpighiales; Euphorbiaceae
Source: RNAcentral
GCAUUUCCUUCCUUUGUUCUUCAUUCAAUGGAUCCAUACUAAUCUCAUGACUGAAACAACGCCUAAUAGUUGGUGGAAGGCCUUCAGGACUAUCAGCAGCAGCAACUAACAGCACCGGGUGCCGAUUUAUGGGUUGAGCAACCUUUACUUGAUCAUGAGCAUUUGACUUUCCUUCUGAGUAAUUUUCUUCAUCUUCAGUAAUUGGCUCAGUAAAUUCCUUUAUGACAGAUGCAACUUCUAAAUUCAUACCAACUUGGUCAUGUGGUGAACCCUCGUUAGAGGCCAAGUUGCGGAAGGC